This 628-nucleotide ribosomal RNA is filed under the name uncultured Alphaproteobacteria bacterium. RNAcentral describes it as "bacterial SSU rRNA". It matches the Rfam family "Bacterial small subunit ribosomal RNA", at positions 8 to 682 of the family's 1533-position model. Lineage: Bacteria; Pseudomonadati; Pseudomonadota; Alphaproteobacteria. The record is from RNAcentral.
AGAGUUUGAUCAUGGCUCAGAACGAACGCUGGCGGCAGGCCUAACACAUGCAAGUCGAGCGCGCCUUUCGGGGCGAGCGGCGGACGGGUUAGUAACGCGUGGGAAUAUACCCUUUGGUACGGAAUAGCCUCUGGAAACGGAGAGUAAUACCGUAUGAGCCCUUCGGGGGAAAGAUUUAUCGCCAAAGGAUUAGCCCGCGUUAGAUUAGGUAGUUGGUGGGGUAAUGGCCUACCAAGCCUACGAUCUAUAGCUGGUUUUAGAGGAUGAUCAGCAACACUGGGACUGAGACACGGCCCAGACUCCUACGGGAGGCAGCAGUGGGGAAUCUUGGACAAUGGGGGCAACCCUGAUCCAGCCAUGCCGCGUGAGUGAUGAAGGCCUUAGGGUCGUAAAGCUCUUUCGCCUGUGAAGAUAAUGACGGUAGCAGGUAAAGAAACCCCGGCUAACUCCGUGCCAGCAGCCGCGGUAAUACGGAGGGGGUUAGCGUUGUUCGGAAUUACUGGGCGUAAAGCGCACGUAGGCGGACUGGAAAGUUGGGGGUGAAAUCCCGGGGCUCAACCCCGGAACUGCCUCCAAAACUAUCAGUCUAGAGUUCGAGAGAGGUGAGUGGAAUUCCAAGUGUAGAGGU